Molecule: long non-coding RNA, 1312 nt
Filed under: Marmota monax (woodchuck)
Lineage: Eukaryota; Metazoa; Chordata; Mammalia; Rodentia; Sciuridae
Rfam family: tRNA (bases 776-842)
Source: RNAcentral
GGUAACUAAUAAGGUUUUUUCUUUAAAAAAAAGAACUGAAAAUUUUCUUUCGCAGCUAACCAGUCCCUCUAUUUAUAGUCAUUCACAAGACCUUACUAAUUAAGCUUAAUUAGCAUGUAGCACAAUUUAUGCCUAUCAUUAAAUAUGUGACAAAUGAGAAAAUGUGAGAAAGUGUUAUGUAAAUUAUAAACCUUUUUUUGUGUCAGGUUAACUUUGCAGUGAGUUUGUUUUACAAUUACAAACCCCCCCCCAAUUUUAUGUCUUUGUAGACUUGCUAUAAUUCAUAGUGGCAUACUUGUGACUUUUAAGGCACUAUCAAGAACUUUGUUCCUAAAUGAAUUUUGAAAGAAAAAUCACUAAGUUCUGGUAAGUUUAUGAAAAAAAUCAGUCUUAAUUAUUUAUACUUUUAGGUUUUUAAAAACCUUUGUUACUCAUAACCCUUGUGCUUUCUCACUGCAUGCCCCCUCCAACUAGAAAACUUUGCAUUCUGUAGUUCAUAUUACUUAAAUUUUAAAAAGGGCUGGGGUUGUGGCUCAGUGGUAGAGUGAUUGCCUAGCACACGUGAGGCACUGGGUUCGAUCCUCAGCACCACAUUAAAAAAAAAAAAAAAGAUACUGUGUUCACCUAAAACUAAAAAAUAAAUAUUAAAAAAAAGAGGGUAGGAAUGUGUGGAUCAGUGAUAGAGUACUGGAUUCAAUCCCCAGUAGCAAAACCACCACAAAAAGACAAAACAGAAAGACACUGAAUUUGCUUUCUUAAAAAUCCCUUGGGCUGGGGUAGUGGCUCAGAGGUAGAGUGCUCACCUAUCAUGUGUGAGGCACUGGGUUCGAUCCUCAGCACCACAUAAAAGUAAAAUAAAAUAAAGAUAUUGUGUUCACCUACAACUAAAAAUAAAUAUUAAAAAACCCCAUCCCUCCAUCUGUAGAGAACUACUGUUGUAUAAUCACACAUCAUCUAUGGCUCUUGCAAGAAUCUGUUGGAUUUUUUCCUUGUUUUCCAGCAUCAUCUUGCCAUUACAUGAACCUUUGAGAGAACUCUGUAUAUAGUUACAGAGUUAGCUGCUUGGGACUAUUGAGUGGGAUAUAUUUUGUGAUUAGUGGCAUUGACUGGAAUAAUUAUGAAUUAAUCCUUUAGGAAAGGACCUUCUAAACCCUUUGCCUUGAGGCUUUCAACCUAUGCUUGUGAAGAAAUCAAACGCUUUUAAAUGUUGGUUUUCCAAACAAAGAUAGAUUUGAUUUCUCAAGUAUUACUUGGAAUGUGUACUUAAUCUGAGAGUAUAUAAAAGUAACUAUGUCCAAAUAAUUUGCAGCAU